CUUGAAAGGAGCAUAGAUCUCUUCACCGUUAAAAGAUCCGACACGAAUCGAUGAAGCUUGAGUUAGUGACCCGAAGUAAUUCGCUUGUUGCACUUUGUCCUUCGUUGCCCACGAGAUUCCU
Molecule: small RNA, 121 nt
Filed under: Arabidopsis thaliana (thale cress)
Lineage: Eukaryota; Viridiplantae; Streptophyta; Magnoliopsida; Brassicales; Brassicaceae
Description: ATSL239240
Source: RNAcentral